This 95-nucleotide transfer RNA is filed under the name Sphaerobolus stellatus SS14. It matches the Rfam family "tRNA". Rfam says of the family: Transfer RNA (tRNA) molecules are approximately 80 nucleotides in length. Their secondary structure includes four short double-helical elements and three loops (D, anti-codon, and T loops). Lineage: Eukaryota; Fungi; Basidiomycota; Agaricomycetes; Geastrales; Sphaerobolaceae. The record is from Rfam by way of RNAcentral.
GCCGCGUUGGCCCAAUGGUAAGGCGUCUCUUUCCUAUUAUGGGUUAAAGCCAAUGGCUUAGGAGAAGACUGUGGGUUCGAUCCCCACACGUGGUU